This 252-nucleotide ribosomal RNA is filed under the name uncultured bacterium. Its description in RNAcentral is "partial 16S ribosomal RNA". It matches the Rfam family "Bacterial small subunit ribosomal RNA", at positions 524 to 776 of the family's 1533-position model. The record is from RNAcentral.
UACGGAGGAUGCGAGCGUUAUCCGGAUUUAUUGGGUUUAAAGGGUGCGUAGGCGGGAUGCCAAGUCAGCGGUAAAAAUGCGGUGCUCAACGCCGUCGAGCCGUUGAAACUGGCGUUCUUGAGUGGGCGAGAAGUAUGCGGAAUGCGUGGUGUAGCGGUGAAAUGCAUAGAUAUCACGCAGAACUCCGAUUGCGAAGGCAGCAUACCGGCGCCCUACAGACGCUGAGGCACGAAAGCGUGGGUAUCGAACAGG